CCCUCGUUCAAAGAAUCGCAUUCGAAGCAAUCAAACAGACAGUUCCUCUUGGAAUCGUCGGCUCUCACAAGCCAAAUUCGCUUUGGGAGAAAGUCCCCGGACAUCCUUUACAAGGCCUGCGGAAACGCGUCGCCAUAGAAGCAAUUGCGACCAACUCUAACUCUAUCUGAUCAAUGCCGUCCAACCUUUUUCGUUGCUCACCUUUCUUCUGCUAACUCCAUGCACUAUUUAACAGAAGCGAGCAGGCCCCUUGGACGAAGAUACGAGUCCGAACCGCCCGUGAACAUUGAAUGAUGGCCUGGACACAGCAGCAGCUUGGGACGAUAAUAAGUGUAGGACGGUACUGUGACGUAUAUAGACUUGGAGACAUUUCGUCGAGAUUCACAGUUAUGCGAUUGCUCGUCUACUGCGAGAGCAGCCUGACGAGUAACUCGAUGGGGCUUAUUCUUGAGACGAGG
This 458-nucleotide RNase MRP RNA is filed under the name Blumeria hordei DH14. RNAcentral describes it as "rNase MRP". It matches the Rfam family "RNase MRP". From Rfam's summary of the family: RNase MRP is an enzymatically active ribonucleoprotein with two distinct roles in eukaryotes. In mitochondria it plays a direct role in the initiation of mitochondrial DNA replication. In the nucleus it is involved in precursor rRNA processing, where it cleaves the internal transcribed spacer 1 between 18S and 5.8S rRNAs. Lineage: Eukaryota; Fungi; Ascomycota; Leotiomycetes; Helotiales; Erysiphaceae. The record is from Rfam by way of RNAcentral.